RNAcentral lists this ribosomal RNA (425 nucleotides) under uncultured bacterium. RNAcentral describes it as "partial 16S ribosomal RNA". It matches the Rfam family "Bacterial small subunit ribosomal RNA", at positions 354 to 796 of the family's 1533-position model. The record is from RNAcentral.
GUGGGGAAUCUUAGACAAUGGGGGCAACCCUGAUCUAGCCAUGCCGCGUGAGUGAUGAAGGCCUUAGGGUUGUAAAGCUCUUUCAGUGGGGAAGAUAAUGACGGUACCCACAGAAGAAGCCCCGGCUAACUCCGUGCCAGCAGCCGCGGUAAUACGGAGGGGGCUAGCGUUGUUCGGAAUUACUGGGCGUAAAGCGCACGUAGGCGGAUCGGAAAGUUGGGGGUGAAAUCCCAGGGCUCAACCCUGGGACUGCCUUCAAAACUAUCGGUCUGGAGUCCGAGAGAGGUGAGUGGAAUUCCGAGUGUAGAGGUGAAAUUCGUAGAUAUUCGGAGGAACACCAGUGGCGAAGGCGGCUCACUGGCUCGGUACUGACGCUGAGGUGCGAAAGCGUGGGGAGCAAACAGGAUUAGAAACCCCGGUAGUCC